UCCAACCCCUGUGACUUACUUUACGUUGCUUCGGCGGACACGCCCCGGCGCCCCCGUGCCCGGAACCAGGCGCCCGCCGGAGGACCACAAACCAUUGUUUUGCUAUAGCGGUAUCAUCUGAGUGGCACAAGCAAAUAAAUCAAAACUUUUAACAACGGAUCUCUUGGUUCUGGCAUCGAUGAAGAACGCAGCGAAAUGCGAUAAGUAAUGUGAAUUGCAGAAUUCAGUGAAUCAUCGAAUCUUUGAACGCACAUUGCGCCCGCCAGUAUUCUGGCGGGCAUGCCUGUUCGAGCGUCAUUUCAACCCUCGCAAAGCCCUUCGCGGCCGAGCGGUGUUGGGGACCGGCACAACCCUCCCAGGAGGGCGCCGCCCCCGAAAUACAGUGGCGGUCUCGCUGCAGCCUCCCUUGCGUAGUAGCACACCUCGCAUUGGAGCGCGGCUCGGCCACGCCGUAAAACCCCCGACUCUCCUGAGUUUGACCUCGGAUCAGGUAGGAAUACCCGCUGAACUUAAGCAUAUCAA
Molecule: ribosomal RNA, 522 nt
Filed under: fungal sp. P4
Lineage: Eukaryota; Fungi
Description: eukaryotic LSU rRNA
Rfam family: 5.8S ribosomal RNA (bases 144-297)
Source: RNAcentral